RNAcentral lists this ribosomal RNA (795 nucleotides) under uncultured bacterium. RNAcentral describes it as "bacterial SSU rRNA". It matches the Rfam family "Bacterial small subunit ribosomal RNA", at positions 63 to 844 of the family's 1533-position model. The record is from RNAcentral.
CGAGGGGCAGCGGGGGCGAAGCUUGCUUCGCCUGCCGGCGACCGGCGCACGGGUGAGUAACACGUAUGCGACCUGCCCCCCGCAGGGGGAUAACCGGGAGAAAUCCCGACUAAUACCGCGUAACGCCGCGGGGCUGCAUGGCCCCGCGGCCAAAGGAAGCGAUUCCGGCGGGGGAUGGGCAUGCGGCGCAUUAGCUAGUCGGCGGGGUAACGGCCCACCGAGGCGACGAUGCGUAGGGGUUCUGAGAGGAAGGUCCCCCACACUGGUACUGAGACACGGACCAGACUCCUACGGGAGGCAGCAGUGAGGAAUAUUGGUCAAUGGGCGGGAGCCUGAACCAGCCAAGUCGCGUGAGGGAAGACGGUCCUACGGAUUGUAAACCUCUUUUGCCGGGGAGCAACGGGGUCCUUGCGAGGGCCCAAUGAGAGUACCCGGAGAAAAAGCAUCGGCUAACUCCGUGCCAGCAGCCGCGGUAAUACGGAGGAUGCGAGCGUUAUCCGGAUUUAUUGGGUUUAAAGGGUGCGUAGGCGGGCUGUUAAGUCAGCGGUCAAAUGUCGGGGCUCAACCCCGGCCUGCCGUUGAAACUGGCGGCCUCGAGUGGGCGAGAAGUAUGCGGAAUGCGUGGUGUAGCGGUGAAAUGCAUAGAUAUCACGCAGAACUCCGAUUGCGAAGGCAGCAUACCGGCGCCCGACUGACGCUGAGGCACGAAAGCGUGGGUAUCGAACAGGAUUAGAUACCCUGGUAGUCCACGCAGUAAACGAUGAAUGCUAGCUGUCCGGGGCUUCGGCUCUGGGU